GUAAAAGUCGUAACAAGGUUUCCUUCCCAGCGAACCACGGAAGCCUUUGCAACCCUUCUAGGGAGCUCCCGCGACUGUAAAUAAGGGGCAUAUGCAGGUAGCCAUCAGGCUGCAACACAAUCGAAUUGCGGGAACGUUCUAAAGCUUAUUAGUACCAACCUUGGGAGGAAACUCCCUGGGGGCCUAUACCUAGCGGUGUGGGAUGGUUAUAAUCUAAUGAGAUGUUACAAUGGACCAUCCGCAGCGAAGCCCCUAACAGCAUCAUGCUCAUGGGGAUCGUUCACAGACUAAGUGGUUGUGGGUACAGAUUCUUCAGAGUCUUGCCUAAGAUAUAGUCGGGCUGUCAGGGAGACUUGACAGGGUGUUUCGCACCAAACCGUUCCGUAGGUGAACCUGCGGAAGGAUCAUUACAGAGUUCAUGCCCUAACGGGUAGACCUCCCACCCUUGUGUAUUAAUACUUUGUUGCUUCGGCGGGUCGUGUGGUUUACCCCGCACCUUAGGCUUUCGAGCUUAAGCGUACCCGCCAGAGGAUAUCAAAACUCUGAAUAUUAUUGUCGUCUGAGUACUAUAUAAAUAGUUAAAACUUUCAACAACGGAUCUCUUGGUUCUGGCAUCGAUGAAGAACGCAGCGAAAUGCGAUAAGUAAUGUGAAUUGCAGAAUUCAGUGAAUCAUCGAAUCUUUGAACGCACAUUGCGCCCCUUGGUAUUCCGGGGGGCAUGCCUGUUCGAGCGUCAUUUCAACCCUCAAGCUCUGCUUGGUAUUGGGCAUUUGCCAGUAAUGGCUGGUCCUAAAAUCAGUGGCGGUACCGCUGGGUCCUGAGCGUAGUAAUUUAUCUCGCUACUGGAUUCUGGUGUGUUUCCUGCCAAUAACCCAAAUUUUAUAUGGUUGACC
RNAcentral lists this ribosomal RNA (893 nucleotides) under Rutstroemia longipes. RNAcentral's name for it is "eukaryotic LSU rRNA". The stretch from base 583 to 736 matches the Rfam family "5.8S ribosomal RNA". Lineage: Eukaryota; Fungi; Ascomycota; Leotiomycetes; Helotiales; Rutstroemiaceae. The record is from RNAcentral.